Molecule: non-coding RNA, 573 nt
Organism: Chiloscyllium plagiosum (whitespotted bambooshark)
Lineage: Eukaryota; Metazoa; Chordata; Chondrichthyes; Orectolobiformes; Hemiscylliidae
Source: RefSeq, a predicted model, not a curated record
GGACAAUAAGGAGCUAAGGAAGCCUUGCCUAUUUAAGGGCCAGUUAAAGGCCUCUUGCCACUGUCAUUGGUGGGGACCACACCAUAUGGACAACUAACCAGUGAUCUUUGAUCGGAAAUGAGGAGCAUCAAUGUUGGCAUGACUCAUGCCAAAGAUCAAGUUGGUAGGUGCUGCAUCUCUCAUCAGCGGUCUCCCACAAGGAGAACGGUAAAGAAGUCUGACUUCAGCAUUCAAUUUAUCAGCUCCACACCAGCAAUGUAAGAUUUUCAAAACAAACUUAAGCCUAAGCCAAAAGAUGAACAAACAAAUACUGUUCACUGACUAGAUUCAAUGAGCUGACACCUCUCCCCACUUUCAAAUGGACAGUCAAGUUAUGAGGAUUGAUUAUCAUCAGCACAUGAUGACCCAACAAUUCAAAGACUACUCACUUCCUUCAGUUCAUAGAUCGACAUUCAUAUAUUUCGUAAAGUUGUAACUCAGACACAUGUAAUAGCUCUCAAGAGUUAGCUUAAGUUGUUAAUCAGUAAGUAGUAUCUCUGGGACUCUUGACACAAGAGUACGAAUGAUCUUUGA